AUUGAACGCUGGCGGCAGGCCUAACACAUGCAAGUCGAACGGAAAGAGGAAGCACUUUGCUGCUUGGCGUACGAGGGGCGGGGGGGUGAGAAAUGUCUGUGAAACUGCUCGAUGGAGGGGGAAAACUACUGGAAACGGUAGCUAAUACCGCAUAACUUCUCAAGACCAAAGAGGGAUAGUUUAAGGCCGCUUGCCAUUGAAUUAUCCAAGAUGGGAUUAGCUAGUAGGUGGGGUAACGGCUCACCUAGUCCACGAUCCCUAGCUGGUCUGAGAGGAUGACCGGCCACACUGGAACUGAGACACGGUCCAGACUCCUACGGGAGGCAGCAGUGGGGAAUAUUGCGCAAUGGGCGCAAGCCUGAUGCAGCCACGCCGCGUGUAUGAAGAAGGCCUUCGGGUUGUAAAGUUCUUUCAGCGGGGAGGAACAGAGUUGAAUUUAUCCCUUCGCUCAUUGACGUUACCCGCUGAGGAAGCCCCGGCUAACUACGUG
This 490-nucleotide ribosomal RNA is filed under the name uncultured bacterium. RNAcentral's name for it is "partial 16S ribosomal RNA". It matches the Rfam family "Bacterial small subunit ribosomal RNA", at positions 30 to 507 of the family's 1533-position model. The record is from RNAcentral.